RNAcentral lists this ribosomal RNA (394 nucleotides) under uncultured bacterium. Its description in RNAcentral is "partial 16S ribosomal RNA". It matches the Rfam family "Bacterial small subunit ribosomal RNA", at positions 523 to 918 of the family's 1533-position model. The record is from RNAcentral.
AUACGGAGGAUGCAAGCGUUAUCCGGAUUUAUUGGGUUUAAAGGGUGCGUAGGCGGGAGAAUAAGCGUGAGGUGAAAUGCCCCGGCUCAACCGGGGAACUGCCUCGCGAACUGUUCUUCUUGAAUGCUCCUGCCGUGGGAGGAAUGGGUAGUGUAGCGGUGAAAUGCAUAGAUAUUACCCAGAACACCGAUUGCGAAGGCAUCUCACGAAGGGGCUAUUGACGCUGAGGCACGAAAGCGUGGGGAUCGAACAGGAUUAGAUACCCUGGUAGUCCACGCAGUAAACGAUGAUGACUAACCGCCGGCGACAGACCGAUCGGUGGCCAAGCGAAAGCGAUAAAUCAUCCACCUGGGGAGUACGACCGCAAGGUUGAAACUCAAAGGAAUUGACGGGG